RNAcentral lists this small RNA (600 nucleotides) under Pongo abelii (Sumatran orangutan). RNAcentral describes it as "retained intron". Lineage: Eukaryota; Metazoa; Chordata; Mammalia; Primates; Hominidae. The record is from RNAcentral.
AAGGCAGAGACCUGCCCUGUUCAGCCUCACCGCCCUCCUCCCCAGCCACAGGGAUCUGAAACCUGAAAACCUCCUGCUGGACGAGAAGAACAACAUCCGGAUCGCAGACUUUGGCAUGGCGUCCCUGCAGGUUGGCGACAGCCUGUUGGAGACCAGCUGUGGGUCCCCCCACUACGCCUGCCCCGAGGUGAUCCGGGGGGAGAAGUACGACGGCCGGAAGGCGGACGUGUGGAGCUGCGGCGUCAUCCUGUUCGCCUUGCUGGUGGGGGCUCUGCCCUUCGACGAUGACAACUUGCGGCAGCUGCUGGAGAAGGUGAAGCGGGGCGUGUUCCACAUGCCGCACUUCAUCCCGCCUGACUGCCAGAGUCUGCUACGGGGCAUGAUUGAGGUGGACGCCGCACGCCGCCUCACGAGGAGGCAAGAAUGAGCCGGAACCAGAGCAGCCCAUUCCUCGGAAGGUGCAGAUCCGCUCGCUGCCCAGCCUGGAGGACAUCGACCCUGACGUACUGGACAGCAUGCACUCACUGGGCUGCUUCCGAGACCGCAACAAGCUGCUGCAGGACCUGCUGUCCGAGGAGCAGAACCAGGAGAAGAUGAUUU